GAACGGCAGCACGGGAGCAAUCCUGGUGGCGAGUGGCGAACGGGUGAGUAAUAUAUCGGAACGUGCCCAGUCGUGGGGGAUAACGUAACGAAAGCUACGCUAAUACCGCAUACGAUCUAUGGAUGAAAGCGGGGGAUCGCAAGACCUCGCGCGAUUGGAGCGGCCGAUAUCAGAUUAGCUAGUUGGUGGGGUAAAAGCCCACCAAGGCGACGAUCUGUAGCUGGUCUGAGAGGACGACCAGCCACACUGGAACUGAGACACGGUCCAGACUCCUACGGGAGGCAGCAGUGGGGAAUUUUGGACAAUGGGCGAAAGCCUGAUCCAGCAAUGCCGCGUGCAGGACGAAGGCCUUCGGGUUGUAAACUGCUUUUGUACGGAACGAAACGGUCUCUUUUAAUACAGGGGGCUAAUGACGGUACCGUAAGAAUAAGCACCGGCUAACUACGUGCCAGCAGCCACGGUAAUACGUAGGGUGCAAGCGUUAAUCGGAAUUACUGGGCGUAAAGCGUGCGCAGGCGGUUAUAUAAGACAGAUGUGAAAUCCCCGGGCUCAACCUGGGACCUGCAUUUGUGACUGUAUAGCUAGAGUACGGUAGAGGGGGAUGGAAUUCCGCGUGUAGCAGUGAAAUGCGUAGAUAUGCGGAGGAACACCGAUGGCGAAGGCAAUCCCCUGGACCUGUACUGACGCUCAUGCACGA
Molecule: ribosomal RNA, 697 nt
Filed under: uncultured bacterium
Lineage: Bacteria
Description: bacterial SSU rRNA
Rfam family: Bacterial small subunit ribosomal RNA
Source: RNAcentral